This 482-nucleotide ribosomal RNA is filed under the name uncultured bacterium. Its description in RNAcentral is "partial 16S ribosomal RNA". It matches the Rfam family "Bacterial small subunit ribosomal RNA", at positions 30 to 507 of the family's 1533-position model. The record is from RNAcentral.
AUUGAACGCUGGCGGCAUGCUUUACACAUGCAAGUCGAACGGUAACAGGCCGCAAGGUGCUGACGAGUGGCGAACGGGUGAGUAAUGCAUCGGAACGUGCCCAGUCGUGGGGGAUGACUACUCGAAAGAGUAGCUAAUACCGCAUACGAUCUAUGGAUGAAAGCGGGGGACCGUAAGGCCUCGCGCGAUUGGAGCGGCCGAUGUCAGAUUAGGUAGUUGGUGGGGUAAAGGCUCACCAAGCCAACGAUCUGUAGCUGGUCUGAGAGGACGACCAGCCACACUGGGACUGAGACACGGCCCAGACUCCUACGGGAGGCAGCAGUGGGGAAUUUUGGACAAUGGGCGCAAGCCUGAUCCAGCAAUGCCGCGUGCAGGAAGAAGGCCUUCGGGUUGUAAACUGCUUUUGUACGGAACGAAACGGCUCUGGUUAAUACCCGGGGCUAAUGACGGUACCGUAAGAAUAAGCACCGGCUAACUACGUG